Molecule: unclassified non-coding RNA, 165 nt
Filed under: uncultured Ascomycota
Lineage: Eukaryota; Fungi; Ascomycota
Description: sequence contains ITS1
Source: RNAcentral
CCGAGAGCCCCUCCUCUGCGCAGCAAUGCGUCGUUGAAAGGGGCUAUUCUCACCACCCUUUUUAUGCGUACCUUCUGUUCUUCCUCGGCAGGGCAACCUGCCGGUGGAACCUCAUCGUGAACCUUUUGCAUCUAGCAUUACUUGUUCUGAUACCCUAAAUCGUCA